Salarias fasciatus (jewelled blenny) is the source of this 468-nucleotide long non-coding RNA. RefSeq lists it as uncharacterized. The transcript is spliced from 3 exons. The record is from RefSeq and is a predicted model, not a curated record. NCBI's taxonomy places the organism in Eukaryota, Metazoa, Chordata, Actinopteri, Blenniiformes, Blenniidae.
GGACUGACAGACAUGUGGCUGCUCUCCUGACAGCGUGUCUGUGCAGGGUAGUGUUUGGUGCUCCACAAAGCUGUGUGAACUGACUGAGAGCUGGACUGCCCUGGAGUCUGUGUGGGCGUGGCGUGCUUCCUGCCGCCGCUGCUGUAUUGGGUUGUGUGUGCUCUCCUUCAUGCUGCCAGCUGCACAGUCAUCAGCUGCAGUUGACCCCGGGCUUUACUGCUGUUUUGGCUCCCUGUUCUGGAUGUGCUUGGCACUUGAUCACCGCGUCUCCUGCUACAUAGAGCACUUUUCUACCCCGGUGUCCUGACGGACGGGCCGGGCUCCUCCAACAGCGUUGUCCAACCGCAAGCAGCUUAGGAGCAUGUUUAAGUGCCGGACUCACUUGUUUUUAAAGAUGCAGAUGCACUGCUUCCUUUGAUUUCUUGUUGCUUUUUGUUUCUUCUGUUGGAUUAGUGCUUACUUUUCUCU